AGGAGGACAGAGUGGGCCGGGUAAGUCCUGCGUGGGCACUGCCUGCAGAGCCCCACAGUCCUCUGCAAAUCUCUAGGGUCCGUGUAGCCGACCCCCAGCAGGCAAAGGAAUGCUUUCUUGUGUGGUGCCGUGGAGGAUUUUGGAAACCUGCUGUGGAACUGCAAUCGAAUGGCUUUCAUUUGCAGGCCUUUUCCUUACUGGCAAAUGUGGUGGCAUUUGUGCCGCUGGGUUUCAGGUAGGAAUCAGCGGUAGGUGGCACACUCACCUUCUCAAGGCUUCUAGAGUUCAGGGAAAUGAUUUCAGGAGCUGCAGUACUCAGGGUCCCUCCUGAGGUCACACGGAGUGAGAUUUUCUAGCCCAUAUUCUUUCUCGUUGGUGAACUCAACUCAGGGCUCCAUACGCAUAGGCUUGCUUAUUCCCCCGGCACGGGUUGUGUUAGCCUCGACUGUACCUCUUACACUUCUCGUGGUGUGGCAUUUACUCCUGAUUUAGAGUAUCCUGUAAGCUAUGAGAGGGCGUGUAGACGUCAAGGACGUUCGAGUAAGCCUCAAGAGAACAGAAUCAGAGCGUCCGGACAAAUGGCCCAAAGGAGGUGUCUCUUUUUGACUGUUCACAUCGAAACAAUCAGGAGAGAAGCAGGGAGUGAAAGACGGGGAGUGGGAGAGAAUGGGGUGGGGGGAGGGGAGAGAGAAGAACAGGGGAGUUCAUAGUGAUCAGCCAAGAGAGACCAUUCCUCCACAAGGUUCCAGACUCUCGCUCUGUUGCAGAUAAGUGGUCUCCUUAACCAUGGGCAGGGUGUCGUGCAAGGUGACUAUAGCGUGACUCACUCGUCCAUCUACAAGUCCCACUGAAAGUCAACACAGCAGGGGCGGGAGUGGAAGGGCAGAGGUGACCUGCGCUCAGGUGACCUGCUGUCUCACAAACAAGAGUCCUCACCAUACAAGAGAGGCAGCUUCUAUACUAGCAAGAAGUCCUGGCGACUUAAAUCUCCUGCACCUAGAGCUGAGAGAGUGAGUAACUGAGUUAUAGUAAACCUCCUGGGCAGACUCGGCUGUCCCCAUGAAGAGGGACCCCUUGACUGAGCCAGGGAGAGUGACUGAGCAAACCUGGGCUACACAGAGGUUGAAGGAGCAACAGAGCAUGGCUGUAAGAAAGUAUGACCUAGCGACACUUACAGAAGUGUGCUUAUCUGUACCCUGACGUCACCACUCCCACACAGGGUCCGAUAACAAUGGUGAGCCUUCUCCUGGCCAUGCAGGUUCAUAAGGGUCUAUGCUUCAUGUCAAGGUGACAGAAGUAAAAUGGCUUCGACUGACUGAGAAGCAGCUGCUUCCAAGGCUAAGGCCGACCUGCAGGUUGGAAGGGGUGACAGGGGCGGGGCAAGAACACCCUUUAGGGAGAUACACAGGCAUUGAGCCACAUUUAGGGGUGCCCUAGGGACACCUCAGUCUCCCUCUGCCUUUUCUAUUCAUAAACAAACAAGCAAGCAAAAAUAGAGAGUGUGGCAAAAGACCCAACAGAGAAACAAAGCGACCUCAAGAUAAAAUAUUAAGCCAUGGUUCGAUGGCCGUGUCCAGUCGUUCUUAAGUCCUGAGCCAGUGUCUUGGCAUCUCAGUGGCUUGCAGCAUGACUUCCAAGAGGGAUUAUUUUCCCUACAAUGAUCUGUUCCUUCAGAUGUCAAGCUGUACUUUUCAUCAACCAGUCAGAGCUUCUCGUCACCAGCUGGCUGAUCUCUCCCAUCCCCACCUCCCUGGAAAGGAGUCCUAAUGAUUAGGAAAUAAAUCCCUUAAAGUGGAGUGGGUUUAAAAGCAGGAGGAGAUGCCACACAGGCCACAUUCGAAUUCACUGGGUCUUUGCUUUUAUCUCUCACUUGUCGGCCUUCUAGGUUCCUCCAGCAUCACCCGAAGAGGAGCCUACCUCCCUCCCAGUCCAGAGGAAGGAACCUUGUCACCCUAUGAACACACCCUCCCUGGGGAGCCCAGGAGGGCGGCCAUGGCUCCUGCUGCCACGGUGUGCUAUUUGGUGGAAGCGUGAGCUGAAGCAACUCUUCCUUCCUUAAGUUGCUUUACUAAGGACACUUCAUCACAGCAACAGAAAAGUGAGGUACUCAGUAGCUGUUUGCUGGGUGCCCUGGGUUGGUUCCUUUGUGUCCACACACCCCGUUAGCAGAAGGUAAUGACCAAAACCUCUUUCUCUGAUGGUGGCACUGCACUGGAACCCUGGGAGUAUUACUUGGGCACUUCCGCUGUGUGGACACUAAGGAACCAACCCAGGACAACUCCUUGGACACUCCUUGAGCACUGCAAGAAACACAGGGGCCUGUGGGAAGGGGAAGAGUGAGAUGCCGCGCCACCAUGCUGAGAGACCACCCCGAGUCUGUGGUGGAGACAGAGGACUCGGGGCUGUGCUGUUUUCAGAGGUGGCGAGAGCUUAAGUGCCCAGACUUACCUGUAGGUGUUUCUCAAAGCCAUGGAAAAGCCAGUCUCACAGAGCCAUUAAGGAAAUAAAAAUACAACUUAAAAAGUCCACGUGCAAUUAGUACACCAUCUUUGGUCUGUUAAAAUAUUUAAUGAGCGUACAAAAGCAGAUAUACAUUUAUCUUAUGCGGGAGUUUACAACAUGAUCAAACUGCAGUACAACCACCUAAGGGGAUCAUCAUUAAAUACAAACACAAUUUACAUAGUUUCCCACGCUUACAACGCCCAUCACAUUCCUACUUAAGUAUCAGCGGAGGGCUGUGCCGACCAACCGGGGCAGCAGAAAGGCACGGUUAGAUACCAGGGACCAGUAACUGACCAAGCAAGGGUAUUCUACAACGCGGUUCAUACGAAAAGUCUCAAAAGCGUGAACUAGGACCCAGACGCAGAUGUCAGUGUGCCCAUCGCAAGGCUGACUUUCUCCAGAGAGUCUCUGGGAAACUCUGGCCAAAUGGAUUAGAGGCAGAGUGGUAUGUGGGUCCCCGUUCUCUUUGCUUCUGCCUGGACCCCUGAGCUCUCCGUUAGCAGAAGGUAAUGACCAAAACUUCUUUCUCUGAUGGUGGCACUGCACUGGAACCCUGGGAGUAUUACUUGGGCACUUCCGCUGUGUCCUUCAUGUGGCCUCUAAUGUCCCCUUUCCACGGGAUGGAUGGCGAGUCUAUCUGCAACCUUCAGUGAAGACUAAAUGUAUUGUAGAGAAGAGAUACAUCUGAUAAAGCUUAGGAUGCCAUGAGAAGUAUCCGGGGGAAAAAAAAGACGUUCUAGCUAAUUUAAAGGGUUUGCCACAUUCAGUACUUAGUGGCGGGAAACAUCUUAAUCUCAUCCUGUCAAAAUUAGAGGCAGAGCAGUCAUCUGAACACUGAUUGAGGUGCCUGCUAUAACAGGUUAGAAAUGAAGAUUUCAGGUAAAAUAAAUAGAGAUUUAAAAUGCAGGUAUGGGGGUUGGGGAUUUAGCUCAGUGGUAGAGCGCUUGCCUAGUAAGCUCAAGGUCCUGGGUUUGGUCCUCAGCUCCAAAAAGAAGAAAAAAAAAUGCAGGUAUAGAGCUCCCCUCCCGGGAGAAUGGAAGAUGCCUUCUUGUGGCACCUGUGUGACACUACAAGAUCAGCUUAGGUCCCCAGUGAGAUGCUACUUGCUCUUGGUGGGAAGAGGAACCUUUCUAUGGUUUGUGUUCUGAGAUAAUGGCUUGCAGGCCUGGGGACUACCCUAGGACUGGGCCUGGCACUGGUGCAAGGUGACGGGGUCAGAGCAGGUGUCUUUGUUCUUUUCCUCAAAGCCACCUCCUCACAGCCUCGGAAGGCCUGAACCCUGUUCCUGAGAGGCCAGAGCACAGCCUCCCCACAGCACAGCCCCCCUUUCCUCCCAGGACAAAGGAGAAUGCUCUCUGUUAAUGGACUUUUCACCACGGGUCUCAGAAGAAUAUGCCUUCUCAGGGCAUUCUUCAUGUGCUGCCUUUGAAUGUCAGCCUGGAAAACGCACAAAGGCUGGGUGUUGUCCCUGCAUUCUGGGAGCUGGGGGUGGUGACUCUGCAUGGCACGGAGGUACCACGUGCCCCGGGGAGGGAGGAUGCAGGAGACAACAUGACCUUACAUUGCAGGGUAAGGGAGGGGGUUCAGAGUCUCCCAGGUUCUAUUUGGGGACCCUUUUCCACACAGGUGACACAGCUGCAUCUCUAAGUGGCAGGUGCUGGCACUUGUACUGCUACCCAAGCACCCUGCAUGCAUGUUAGAUGCCUAUCUUAGAAUAACAUCAAGGGUGCAGGCUUUCAUCACAAGUGACGCUAGCCUUUGGACUCUAUUCUUUGCAACAUUCUUAAGGACCUCUGUAGUAUAGGAAAGCAAGCCCUGCCCCCCCCCCUCUACAAACAUCAAACUACAAAUAGAACAGAUGCUCCUGACAUCCCAGGGCAGUAACUGCCCCUGGCAGCUUCUCUGGGGAUUGUGAUUUAUAGCCAGGUGUAGAGUGAGUUAAGCCUCCUUCACCAAUGCUAAACAACCAAGGACCCACAAUCAAAGAGGCUUGGACACCAAGGCUUGACCCUUGCUGUGUCCUGGGCAGGGAGCUUCCCAGAGGAAAGCACCUUUGGUUAUGCUUGGAACAAGCUGCGGGAGGCACAGGGGAGCAUCAACACAAACUCUGUACGGAAAUGCCAUAACCCUAUUUCAUA
RNAcentral lists this small RNA (4640 nucleotides) under Rattus norvegicus (Norway rat). Its description in RNAcentral is "uncharacterized LOC108348833". The record is from RNAcentral. Lineage: Eukaryota; Metazoa; Chordata; Mammalia; Rodentia; Muridae.